Hippocampus comes (tiger tail seahorse) is the source of this 2500-nucleotide RNA transcript. It is a transcript of the gene named phosphatidylinositol 4-kinase type 2 alpha, with no coding region annotated. The transcript has 10 exons. The record is from RefSeq and is a predicted model, not a curated record. NCBI's taxonomy places the organism in Eukaryota, Metazoa, Chordata, Actinopteri, Syngnathiformes, Syngnathidae.
CCGCCCUUUCCCGGAAGCUGACAGUCAUCUGAUUUUCUUUCUUGCUCUUUUUUUUCCAGCGUCCUCGUUAGCUACCUCACCUCCAAGCAACCAAACAACUGUGAUACUUUAUUUCUCAGUCUUUUUCGACUUUCCGGCUUCUUCUCCGUACAACGAACUACACGAACUUCUCGCCAACCUCCAGAAUCAUGGACGAGACGAGUCCGCUUGUCUCUCCGCUCCGUGACUCAAAUGAUUUCAGCUACGGUCCGACAGAACCCACCAGCCCUCGGGGCGCCUUUGGAGGGACGCCGGGAUCGGUGGUGCGCAUCCCUGCCGGCAGUCCGAGUCGCAGUCGGGAGAGACAGCCUCUCCUGGACCGGGACCGCGGGACCUCACCGCGGGAACCGCACCGGAACGAAUUCCCGGAGGAUCCUGAGUUCAGAGAGAUCAUUCGCAAGGCCGAGCGAGCCAUUGAGGAGGGGAUCUACCCAGAGAGGAUCUACCAAGGAUCCAGUGGCAGCUAUUUUGUCAAAGACUCACACGGGAAAAUCAUCGGUGUGUUCAAACCUAAGAAUGAAGAGCCCUAUGGCCAGCUUAACCCCAAAUGGACAAAGUGGCUCCAGAAACUCUGCUGUCCCUGCUGUUUUGGUCGCGACUGCUUAGUUCUCAACCAGGGCUACCUCUCAGAGGCCGGUGCUAGUCUGGUGGACCAGAAACUGGAGCUCAAUAUCGUUCCGAGGACCAAGGUGGUAUACUUGGCGAGUGAAACAUUCAACUACAGUGCCAUAGACAGGGUGAAGUCUCGAGGUAAAAGACUCGCCUUGGAGAAGGUACCAAAAGUGGGUCAGCGCUUCCAUAGGAUUGGACUUCCUCCUAAGGUUGGCUCCUUCCAGCUCUUUGUGGACGGAUACAAGGAUGCCGACUUUUGGCUUCGUAGGUUUGAAGCCGAGCCUCUACCGGAGAACACUAACCGUCAGCUUCAGCUGCAGUUCGAACGCCUCGUGGUCCUCGAUUACAUCAUCAGGAACACAGACAGGGGAAAUGACAACUGGCUUCUCAAGUAUGACUGCCCUAUGGACGCUGUGGGGAACCGGGACACAGACUGGGUUGUAGUGAAGGACCCAGUAAUUAAGCUGGCAGCCAUAGACAAUGGUCUAGCCUUCCCUCUCAAACAUCCUGACUCCUGGAGAGCAUAUCCUUUCUACUGGGCAUGGCUCUCUCAGGCCAAAGUUCCUUUCUCCCAGGAAAUCCGAGAGCUAGUCCUACCAAAGCUCUCUGACCCAAAUUUCAUCAAAGAUCUCGAAGAGGACCUCUAUGAACUAUUCAAGAAAGACCCUGGUUUUGACAGAGGACAGUUUCACAGGCAGGUCGCUGUCAUGAGGGGGCAGAUUCUGAACCUGUGCCAAGCCCUAAAGGAUGACAAAACACCCCUGCAGUUGGUCCAGAUGCCCCCAGUGAUUGUCGAAACUGCCAGAGCCCCCCAGAGAGCCAAUAGUGAGUCGUACACGCAGAGUUUCCAGAGUAGAAGACCUUUCUUCACCUGGUGGUAAACAGAGCACGCACUGGGAGGAGGAACAGCAGGAAGCGAGAGAAGCGAGUACACGUUUUGUCUCCUGGAAAUGGAUUUCAUCGCCACCGUCCCCUCCUCUCCAAAUAGACAGUGCAAUUAAAAAAAGUGAGUGUGUUGGCUCGAGAGAUGAGGCAAAAAGGGGAAGAAGUUCACACUGUAUCUUCCUUUUUUGCCUUGGUGCCUUGUUUGGAUGUGAAGAAGUCUGAAUUCUUCUUUCUUGCAAAGAGACAUCAGGCUUUUCUAUUGGACUCUCCAAGGGACACGUGUGAUCGCCCACAUGUGCAUGCCAAUCAGUCAAAAACAAAAGUUGUCUAACUGAAAAUGGGAGAUGUCUCAUCCCACGUCGAUGCUUUCUUCAUGCCGCUCUGCCUUUUAACAUUCACCCGUAUAUUCACCACUCCCACAUGGUUUAAUUAACCGCACUGGUAUGGCCUACCAAUAAAAAGUCUUUAUUACGAUUAAGCCCCUUAAGGUUUAGGGAAAUGGACACACUGUGCACGUCAACACGGUGAGCACGAAAUGUGAAGCGGUUUCACAACUUGUAAUAGAUUCUCCCUACAGUUGACAUGAGCUUUUUCAAAGUCACGUAUGUGGGGUGACGAUGGAGAGCAGGCCUACCGGUCGGUAUGUGUGCUUAAAGGCGGCCUUGGUCGCGCUGAGAUAAUUCCUAGCCUAAUUAUUCCACUUUCACCACUGAAUUAGUUGACCAGUGAGGAAGGUAGAAUCACCCGGUCUGCAACUGCCAGAAGAAGCAAGGAGAUUGUUGUUGAUUCAUUGGCUUCUGCUAAUGGCUUCAUUUGCUUUUUUUUUUUUUUCUUACUUGUCAGGUGGAGCCGCAUAAAGUAACUUCCUGCUGUACAGAACUGACAAAUGUAUUGUGACAAUGCACUGUAUAAUUUGUAUGUAAUAUUUAAUAAUAGAUUAUAAUAAAAAAAAAUCUUCCAUUCA